Molecule: long non-coding RNA, 8411 nt
Filed under: Nicotiana benthamiana
Lineage: Eukaryota; Viridiplantae; Streptophyta; Magnoliopsida; Solanales; Solanaceae
Description: long non-coding RNA (NBEN_LNC022421)
Source: RNAcentral
CUUCCCUCCAAGAACUUCCCACCUUGCUCUUGGGGAGACUCGAACUCACAACCUCUCGAUUGGGAGUGAGGAAUGUAUAUUAUAUGCAAAAAUGUAUAUAAAUAUUGUAUAUAAAGGGAAGUAAACUUGAAAAAAAUACUCUAAAUUCCGAAAGAAAUGUAUAUUGUAUGCAAAAUGAGGUGGGAUCCAAUUUUUUUAGGUCAUUUAUAUGCUAGGAAAAGCUACAUACAUCAGAAAUUUAUUCGACAUAAUACAUACAGUCUAAUAUAUUUGACUAGAUACGAGGAUUAAUUAAAAAAAAUAGAAGGUUUUUGACGCACGUGAUAAAUAUGCAUUAAGGACCAAAUAUACCAUUUGUACCAAAAUACUUGUAGCUUUAUCAUUUGGGUCCAUAAUAAAGGCAAAAUAUAUAUAUAAACAACCUAACUGAAAUACACAAAGCAGAAAAGAGUGACAAACAAAUUGAAACGAGAAAAAUAUUGUUAUAAAAAGAAAAAAGAAGCUAGUAUUAUAACAUAAUUUUUUGCGACCAAUGUCAUCAACCAACUAGUGACGAAAUUGUACAAUAUUUGUCCGUCGCUAAAGUUCAUUUUUUUUAAAGUAAUAAAACUAUCUUUACAUAUUCAGACAUGUCUAUGUUGUAAAGCAAACCUUGCACCCCACUUCACUCUUAUCAUCCAUUUUUUAGCUUUCAAGUAUAUACAUUAUUUGCAGUUCAAGCUGAACAUUUGGCAAAAAACCUUGCAUUCUUACCUGGAACUUAAAUCCCAUUAUUUUUCCAAACACUAUGUAAAUAAAAUAAUUUUUAAAAAAAAAGAAAGGAAAAGGAAAAAAAUAAGAAAAGGGAAGGGUAAAAGAAAUGCUAAAAGGAAAGGGAAAGAUGGAGACUAUUGAUGAAAGAAAGGUACUUUUCUAAGUGAUCCCAUGUGAACUUUUCUAGAGAUAUGUGACCUUGUUAUCAUAAAGUAUAGUAUAAAAACUAGACAAUGGUUUUUACCUACUUUUUCCCUAUGCUCUCUCCACCCCUCACUAUCAAUAAAGCCCCUCAUUGUUCACCAAAAAAUCAAUAAUAGUGGAUAAUUUCUUUUUAUCUGCUUAAAACUUGAGGAUAAGAGUUGCAUGAUACUUAUAUGGUAUGAGGUAAUAAAUACUCGAUAAAAUAAUCUAAGUACGUGCAAACGAGUUCAAACACUACUAUUUUUAGCAAUGAUUAUGCUUCAAUUUUGUGCCUAUAUCGCUUUAUUUAACCACGUACAUCUUAGACCAAUACUAAAUAAAUUUAAAUAAAAUAAAAGAAUACUAGAAUAUCUCAAUAUUUUCUAAUGACAUAUAAAUCACUGACAAAUCUUAGGGACACUUAAAAACAUAGGACUUAAAACUAAAUGUACUAACAAGACUAAAAUAUAUUUCAAACUAACUGAAAAUAUGUAUUCAAAAAUCUUUUCUGCUCACAUAUAAAUCUCUCUUAUGAAACCGUCAUUAACUUUUUUUAAAAUAAAAAGGGCCCCUCAUAUAUUAUAACAGUGACAUGUAUUGUUUUUUAGCUAAAAAUUUAACUUCACAUACAAAACAGUUUAAUAAUUCCCUAUCCCCCCCUCCCCACCCCACAAAACCCAAAUCGAUUUGUCUCCACAUCUGGUUACUUAGAUUCCAAGGGUAUUUUAGUAAAAGAGCUAGGUUGUUUUCCUCUAUAAUAUGCAUCAUCAUUCAAUAAGUUGAUUUAUGAGCAAAAAGGCCAGCUCUUUUCUUGCUUUAGUCCUUUUCUUCUUAUGGUUGGUUUGAAACUUGUUCUAUGCUUUUACUACAUCUUCAACUUCAGACAAAGUUCAAAGAAAGCUUGCUGAAAAUAUCAAAGUUCUUCUCUUCUUGAAAAUUUGAAAGCAAAUAUCUUCUCUCAGUUUCAAGAAUCUGAGGCAAUUCUAAGGUGAAAGGUUGGAUUUUUAGUUUUUUUUUGGUUAUAUAAAUGUAAAGAUGAAAUCUUUGAGCAGUGUUGGACUUGUUUUAAGUAUGGUAUUUGGUUGUCUUUUAUUAGCUCUUAUUGCUGAGCUUUACUACUUAUUAUGGUGGAAAAAUAGGAUUGUUAAAACAAGUCUUGAAGAUGGUUAUAGUAGCAAUAAAGCAAAAGAAUUCUUUUGUAUGUUUUGUAUUAAGCCCUCAACUUCUUUAAACUCCAAUAUUGCCUUAAAAUCCCAAGAAAUUUGUGCCAAUGAUACACAACUAGUCCAUGAACCAACAAUCCAAGUUCAAUCCAAUGUCGAGUCAAAUAGUACUCAGUGGAGAGGUCAACCAGUCGAGGAGGCGACUGAUUUUUGGUUCAAACCCUUUGGAGAUGAUAACAUGGAAAAUGAAUUUAUAGGACUUUGUGGGCCACCAAGAUUUUUAUUUACUAUCAAAGAGGAAACUAGAGAAGAUCUGGAAUCUGAAGAUGGAAAAUCUAAGGGUGAAAAGAGUAGAAAAGGAUCAAGAACUAGGAGUUUAAGUGAUUUAUGUCUAAAUAUGGAAACUCCUUAUUUAACUCCACUUACUUCACCACCUUAUUUUACUCCUCCUUUAAGUCCUAUGAUGCAUAAAAAUGGAUUCAAUCCUUUUCUUGAAUCAAUAAGUGAUGCUGAGUUUAAUAAAUUUAUAAGGUCUAAUUCACCUCCUCCUACAUUUAAAUUCUUGAGAGAUGCUGAAGACAAAUUUUGUAGAAGGUUUGUGGAGGAAAGUGUAUCAUUUCAAGUUGAAAAUCUUCAAGUUUCAAGUUCAAAGUUGGCCAAAGACAAGGAAAAUGGGCCAUUUAUUACACUCAUUUUCCCUAAGAAUAGAGAAGUACAAUCUGAUCAACAUCAUGUACAACUCUGUCCUUCAAGCUCUUCACAAGUACUUCCUUUGGUUUGAAGCUGCCAAUCCAACAGCUGAACCAAUUACAAGAGUAAAUUUUGUUUCAUUCCCCCCUCCCCCCCAAAUCCCUUUUCCAUUUUGAUUGUAUUAAAAAAGCAAUGACUUAUUUUCUUUGUUUAAUUAGUGUAUGAUUUUAGAGCUCGUUUGCUUACAUCAUCUGACUUUGUGAUUUUAAGGUGAAGUUAAUGAUUAAAGCCUAGUCAUAGUGCAAUCUUGGUGGUAUUUUCUUAAUUCUUUUUUCUCACAAAGCAGGUGAGUGAUGAGUCAUUACUUGGUGCCGGAAAAUUAACCUUCCAAUCAUUUGUAUUUUCUCGAAUAAUUUAAAUAUAGUUGAACACCUGCAAUAUGAUAAAAUAUAGUUAUAUGAUAAAAAAAUCGUUAUAGUGAAUAAAGUUUAGCAACCAUACAAAAGUCUAGGCAUAGUGAGUUUUCUAAAGGGAAAAACAUUCUUUGCAGACUGCAACACUGCAAACAAUGUCCAGAUUCCACUAUGCAUCUGAUACUAGUUGGGAAGUGGUUAUUUUUGGUGGGGUGGGGGGUGAGGUGGUUGGUUUGUUUCUAUUCAAUUUCAGUCUCCUAAGCUGUCCAAGUACAACCUGUAAUCAUUCAAGGAGAUAAUGACUACUGAGAAAAAAAUUGAGAACAUAAAAUAUUUAAUUUACUCUUUUAGAUAUUGAGAAGGGGAUCUUUGUUGCUGUCAUGUGAUAAGAAGCUUAAGGGUUUAAAUUACAAAAAUAAUCUCUGCAAAAUGCAGGAAAAGGCUACCUGCGUUAGACCUUUGUGGUCUAGCUUUUUCCGAACCUCGCGCAUAGCUAGUGCAUCGAAUUGUCUUUUUUACUCUUUUAGAUAUUGAAAGGGCACCAUAGAAGGGAGCCUUGAACUAACCAUAAAAUUUUUUUCACGUGAGAUAUAGGUUACGAGUUUGAGUUGUUAAAGCAGCCAUAAUCCUUAUAUUAUGAUAGACUGUCCAUAUCAUAUCUCUUGAUAUGCGAUUUUUCUGUAAAUUCUGAGUGAACGCAAAAUAUCAUGUGCACCGAAAUAUCAUUAAAAGCCACCAUAAUAUGGAAGUAUAAGUAAAGUUAAUGACUGUAGUCUUGCAGCCCUUUUUUUUCACAUACUGCUUUAAUAAAUUAUCUACAAGUCAUGAUUUCUCAUCUUUUUAUGCAUGCUCUUGAAUUAUGAUGAUCUUUCGCUAAUUUCUUUAACACAUGUAUCUUUUUCAUUUGAAAAUUGAUUGACCCACCACAAAGUAGUUUCUUGAUUUUUUGAUUUGUACACUCUAUUCUUUUACCCAGACAAAGAGAUCAAGAAGAGCAAACCUUCCUUUUUAACUUUCUAGAUUUUCCCACUAGUAAAAAUCUACAAAUUGAAAAUACCUUUUUCUCCCUCUAAACACCAUGGUAUCCAAAAUCAGAUUAUCUGAUUAAUAUGAAAUUGUAUCAAGUACGCCCUCUGAGGCUCAAACUUGAUCCAGACUACAUUUGUGGGAUCAAAUUGGAGUUGUUGUUAUUGUACGCCCUCUGCAGGUUGUAAAAUAUUUCUUAACAAAAAAUUCUCUCAGAAAGCUCAAAUUCAAUACCUUUAAUUAAGGUAGAAAGAUUAAAGUCAGUCUACGCCCCUGGGCGGAAGGUAAGGAAAAACGGAGAGGAGAUUACAUGUGAAGAAACAGAAGCUAACCGACAACGUAAAAAUUCAGAUAGUCAAUCAACUAACUACUAUGAUUCCUCGUAGGAAUACACUAUGAUUCCUCGUAAGAACACGGGCUGACUAAACAAUAAUCUGUAUUAAAUUUGGAAUCGUCGUUUUAUUAAGUUCCUUAUUACUAGUGAUUAUUAUAUAAAGUUGGACUAAAGAAAAAGGUGUACCAACAAAACAUAAUGACAAAAGGACGGAGGAGGAAGAAAGAGAUUAUAACUUGUGUGUAAAGGGUGAUGAAUUGGCAUUUUCAGUAAAGAACAAACUUGUACUCUUGCCCGUGAUAAUAUCUCGUGUUUCCAAACCGAAAGGUAAACCACCUUAAAUAAUCAUUACGUCGAUUUGCCUUUAUACAUUUUUUUUCAUCAUUGAUACACUAUAUAGUAUCAAAUGAAAAUAAAAGGUCAUCUUACCAAAAAAUUUGUAUAAUCUCUUUCUACAUAAAAGUUUUAAAUCUUGAGUAAUAAAGGACAAUUUACAUAUUUGGCCGGUCACCUAAAAUAAUGACAUUUGCUAAUCAAAUAUAUAAAAAAAUUGUAUGAUAUAUGUGUAUAUAUUUUACCGGCUAUUAUUUUUGGCAGCAGUUAUAUUGUGUAGUUUCCCAAUAAUAAAGGUUGAGGAAAUAUGUUUCCAAUAGACUUCUCGAUCUAGAGGUAUAUGAGUCAUACCCUCAUAGAGCAUAAGUAUAACUAGAGGGGCAAUUAAAUUAGAUAAAUAGAGUGCUGAACAUGCCAAAAAGGGGUAAUAUAAAUAAUGGAUUAUAACGCAAUCGCUUCAAAAUUUUAUUCAAAUCAAAAUGGAUUUGACAAAUAAUAUGUUGGAAUUGUUUACGACCUAACAUGCCCGAUUUUGUAGUGGUCAUACUGUCAGUUUCUAAAUAGUAUUUGCACCAUUUCCUAUAGGUUUUUCAGUUUUCUAUUGUUUCUUUGUUGAAAAAAUUUACCUUUGAUAUUACUAUAAGUCUAAUAUCCUGAGCUAUGGAUAUUAUGUUUUUAUGUUUUAGCAAUUACUUAAUUUAGCUUUUCUUUAAGUAUACUUUGCAGUAGUUUCUAUUGAAAAAAGUUAAUACUAGUCUCCGAAAAAGCAAACAAGGUCUAAUAUCUCCUUAAAAAGGACUAUAUUUUGGAAUUAGUCUCCCAAAAAAAAGAGAAUACUUGGAAUCUUUACACAAAUAGCUGAUUACACAGGAUCUUACACAAAUUAUAAAUAAAUUAUACAUAUAUGCCAGCUAUUUUUUUGUUUGAGCAGUUGGGUGAUGGACUAUUUAGGUUAAUUAUUCUAAUACUUUUGAACAUAUAAACCGCUAGCUAACAUUUACUUCCAUACUUCAAGUCAGAAAGCCAGGAUUGACAAAUGUAGUCCCACGUAAUGGGGCAAUGAGGAGCUUAAAAGUGUAAUUAGAAAGUAAAGACACCACAGCUUGAUAAGUUUUUGCCAUAGCUAAAGCAACAUCUGAACAUGCACCACAAGUUUUGCGAUAAAUAUUAACAUUCCUAUUGAACAUGUAUUGAUAUAUAACUGCUAAGCAGUAAUUUCAAGUUUAAAGCUCAACCAAUGAUAAAAAUGCGGACCUAAACAGGUAGAAAAAGUAAAAUAUUGUGACAAGCAUCUCGAAGUAGAAGCUAAAAAAUGCUAAAACAAUUAGGGGAACCGAGCAAAUGUGAUUGAAGAUAACAAAGUGAAAGUAAAGUUAUAUCAUCUAUGUCAAAAAUCAAAAAAACUAUAUUUUUAGCAAAUAGGGUAAACGGUGAAAACAAGUAGGUAGAAAGUAUCAUAAUAACCAAACUUCUAAUUUUUAUCCCCACUCAACCGAGGAGUGGAACUUAAUUAUACCUGCGCAUGGAAACCUUUGCAAUCAUGAGAGGCGAAAUUCGUAGUGGCUGCAGAUGCCCAAAUAACAUUAGGACCAAAGUCUAGUGCAUGUACCAUUUAUUAUACCCAGUUCAACACAAAUUGAACUGAGGCCUGCUUCCCCUAACAGACUAAAUGCACAAAAGCCAUAGUAGGCGUGAUAAAGAUCUGGCAGCUGCUCCGGAAUUUUGCCAAAACCACCAUACUGUAGAACAAAAAAAUGGGGUAUAAAUUUUCGUAACUUAAAGUUCUUCCAGGGAAAUGCCUGAAUUAGGUGGUGAAAAUAUCCAAAAGCAAACCACAACGAUGAUGGUACACAAAUAUUGGCAGUGAAACAGUUUUAACAAUCCAUAGCAAUGAGGUUCCAGUGGUUGAUAAAAGUUCUUGGACAUCAUAAAAUAGGAAGGGCAUACGAGCUCAGACAUUAGAUCUUUAUUAGUCCCAAAGAAAAAGAACAGUUUGGAAGCUCUAGAACUGCAGUUGCAUGUAAAAACAUGUUCAAAGAAGGCAGAAAAGAAAGAGAAGAAUUCAUAGCACCUGGGAUUGACAGGUGAAAAGAAAUUUACGUAAACCUCCAUAAUUGAUGAACUUGUGAGCCCCUAAGAUCUUUAGAACUCCUCCAACCCUGAACAAGGGCAUCAAUUUGUCAAGCCAGAAGAAACAGAAGUGAUGACAGUUGAAGGGAAAAAGCUAUUUGAACUCACCAAAAAGCAUAGCAGGUGUCAGUAGCUUUGUUUGGUCUACCUUGGAAACCACCAUCAGUGGCUUGUCUCUACGAGAAAGAAAGAUUAGAUCGGAGUAGCUUUGUUUGGUCUACCUUGGAAACCACCAUCAGUGGCUUGUCUCUGUGAGAAAGAAAGAUUGAGUCACACCAAUUGCAGGACGGUAGAUCAACAACAACAACGACCCAGUUAAAUCCCACUAGUGAAGUCUGAGGAGGGUAGUGCGUACGCAAACCUUUCCCCUACCCCAGGAGUGUAGAGAGACUGUUUCCGAAAGACCCUCGGCUCAAAGAGGCAAAAAGGACAGUAGAUCAUAUCGACCAUUUAUCAGUCAAAGGACCAGAUAUGAGCGAUGGACUUGUACAAAAAAUCAUCCUUCUUUUUCUUUUGAAAACAAAGUCCUCCUAUAUCCUUAAAUUGUUCCACGUUACAAUUUAUUUGGGUUAUAAUCAUCGCUAAUUUUAAAUUGUAAUAUUUUUUCUUUGGAGGAAUACUGAAAAACAUGUCUAGCAUAGCAAUAUAACAACCUAUCACACACUAUUAGAAGAAAGUAUACCUGUAGACUCCAGUCUAGAAGCAUGGGCACAUUUAUGAAGCAAGAGGAUACACUCUUCGACAAUAUAUCCUCUUCAAUUAAUCCCAUCAAUUUGAGAGAUGCAGCCGCACAAUAAGUGGCACCACCUGUGAUACUAAACAAUCACCAUCUAUGAGAAAUAUCAUAUUACCACGUAACAACAACAACAACAACCCAGACACUACCCUUGGGUAGAGAGGCUGUUUCCAAAUAGACCCCCGGCAUCCUUCCCUCCAAGAACUUCCCACCUUGCUCUUGGGGAGACUCGAACUCACAACCUCUCGGUUGGAAGUAGGGGUUGCUUACCAUCCGAGCAACCCCUCUUGUCUGAAAUAUGAUUUAAGAGCAUGCUACCACAUUGCACUUUCAGCUUUCUGUUAAAAAAACAAAGAACUAGAAGAAGAAAUGACAGAUACAUUCAUUUGGAGCCCCCUAUUUUUCUUUUCCCACACCGUGUGGCUCAAAACAGAGACAAAACAAUAGCCACUCUAUAAAUCUGAUAACUACAAACAUUGACAGGGUUUUCCACAACUGAAACUAAAUGUAGAAGGAUAAAAGAUUGAUUUGCAACAACCUUCUUUCACUUUUACCACUUUAAAAUUACCCCAAGUAGAAAAAAGGAAAAGAAGAUCACAACAGAGAUAUGAAAGAUAAGCAGUACAAGAAGGGGGCCAUCCUCACAUUCA